Molecule: ribosomal RNA, 440 nt
Filed under: uncultured bacterium
Lineage: Bacteria
Description: bacterial SSU rRNA
Rfam family: Bacterial small subunit ribosomal RNA
Source: RNAcentral
GGCUACAGAACGAACGCUGGCGGCAUGCCUAACACAUGCAAGUCGAACGAGACCUUCGGGUCUAGUGGCGCACGGGUGCGUAACGCGUGGGAAUCUGCCCUUGCUUCGGAAUAACAGUUAGAAAUGACUGCUAAUACCGGAUGAUGUCUUCGGACCAAAGAUUUAUCGCCCUGAGAUGAGCCCGCGUAGGAUUAGCUAGUUGGUGAGGUAAAGGCUCACCAAGGCGACGAUCCUUAGCUGGUCUGAGAGGAUGAUCAGCCACACUGGGACUGAGACACGGCCCAGACUCCUACGGGAGGCAGCAGUGGGGAAUAUUGGACAAUGGGCGAAAGCCUGAUCCAGCAAUGCCGCGUGAGUGAUGAAGGCCUUAGGGUUGUAAAGCUCUUUUACCCGGGAUGAUAAUGACAGUACCGGGAGAAUAAGCUCCGGCUAACUCCGUG